Molecule: long non-coding RNA, 834 nt
Filed under: Brachypodium distachyon (stiff brome)
Lineage: Eukaryota; Viridiplantae; Streptophyta; Magnoliopsida; Poales; Poaceae
Description: long non-coding RNA (BDIS_LNC001761)
Source: RNAcentral
GUCCAUGUGACCUUUUCUGAGCGGCUGAGCCUUACAUGCAUGCAAUCUAGAUAUAUUUUUGAACGACCUGCUUAAGCUAUAUUUGCGAGGUUCGAAAGGUGUACUUUUAGUAGGUUGAAUAUUGACUUUUCUGUUUUGGAGAUCAUCCUACUGCCGAAUGGACCUUGCGCCGCAUCCUUGAUUUUUAUAUUAAAUUGAGUAUAAGCAAUACAGUUAGCAUGCAUAAAAAUAAGACAAUAACACGUACACAAAUCUUACCAGCUGUAUUGGCUUUGCUCGUAAUUUAACUGAACAUAAGUUUUAUCACCAUUACUUGCGUUAUUCUUUAUUUAUUCUUAUUUAUUUUAGACCUGAACACGGAGACUCAAGCAUCACUAAUUUUUUUUUAUUUUCGAGGAGACUAAUUGGUUAUUUUAGCUGCACAACCUUCUUAACUACUCCUCCCUACGUUCUACUGUAAACCGCAACAAUAAUUAUUGAAGGGAGGGAGUAGAUCCGUAACAUAUCCGUUUCCACCUAUACAUGGCCACACGUUGUACUAAACAAUGCAAGAUUUGUUAAUUUGAGGGGAUCGAUUAUAUAUAUACACGGGGCAAUUAUUUUCCAAAUAAUGCCCAUUCUGGAAUCUAGACGGAGCCAGGAACCGAAAGUGCUACCCAGCAGCCUUGUCAUGUAAGAGGUCCAAACCGGCACUCGAAAUACGUACCUUUAGGUUUUGUCCGUGAGAACUAAUCAAAGUUUCUCCAGAAAAGGGAGCAGCUCAGUUCAAACUCACCAACUUGGGAGACAGAAAUCGUACUGUCACGUACACCAGGUUGACGUCAUAUAUAUGCA